AACGACUCUCGGCAACGGAUAUCUCGGCUCACGCAUCGAUGAAGAACGUAGCAAAAUGCGAUACUUGGUGUGAAUUGCAGAAUCCCGUGAACCAUCGAGUUUUUGAACGCAAGUUGCGCCCGAAGCCAUUGGCUGAGGGCACGUCUGCCUGGGCGUCACGC
This 161-nucleotide ribosomal RNA is filed under the name Chaetanthera limbata. RNAcentral describes it as "5.8S ribosomal RNA". It matches the Rfam family "5.8S ribosomal RNA". From Rfam's summary of the family: 5.8S ribosomal RNA (5.8S rRNA) is a component of the large subunit of the eukaryotic ribosome. It is transcribed by RNA polymerase I as part of the 45S precursor that also contains 18S and 28S rRNA. Functionally, it is thought that 5.8S rRNA may be involved in ribosome translocation. The record is from RNAcentral. Lineage: Eukaryota; Viridiplantae; Streptophyta; Magnoliopsida; Asterales; Asteraceae.